RNAcentral lists this transfer-messenger RNA (373 nucleotides) under Rarobacter faecitabidus. Its description in RNAcentral is "Standard tmRNA". It matches the Rfam family "transfer-messenger RNA". From Rfam's summary of the family: Bacterial tmRNA, also known as 10Sa RNA or SsrA, is named for its dual tRNA and mRNA-like properties. Its role is to liberate the mRNA from a stalled ribosome. To accomplish this part of the tmRNA is used as a reading frame that ends in a translation stop signal. Lineage: Bacteria; Bacillati; Actinomycetota; Actinomycetes; Micrococcales; Rarobacteraceae. The record is from Rfam by way of RNAcentral.
GGGGGUGAUCGGUUUCGACGGUGGUCGUGAUUCCACGCGAAGCGGGUCGAGGAUGCAGGCUUAUCUCGUUAACGAUGUCUGCAAACCAAUAGGUGCCGAUUCCAAGCGCACCGACUUCGCCCUCGCUGCCUGAUAGCGAGCGCAUAGGAAGUCCGUCAGCCCGGGGUUGCUUCUGCUCCGGAUCCUGGCGUCAUCUAGGAAGCCACUGCUGUCCGUCCUCGUCGGUGGGGCGGGCGGGACUCUUAGCCGACUGAGCCUGUCAACGUCUUGUCUGCGUGAGCGUUGGGGCUGAGAAAAUCGUCAGCAGACUGCACCCGGAGAAUUCGUGGGUGACCGUCACCGGACCGGGGUUCGAUUCCCCGCACCUCCACCA